GGGCAUUUGGUCUAGUGGUAUGAUUCUCGCUUUGGGUGCGAGAGGUCGCGAGUCCGAUUCUCGCAAUGCCCC
This 72-nucleotide transfer RNA is filed under the name Selaginella moellendorffii. It matches the Rfam family "tRNA". Rfam says of the family: Transfer RNA (tRNA) molecules are approximately 80 nucleotides in length. The record is from Rfam by way of RNAcentral. Lineage: Eukaryota; Viridiplantae; Streptophyta; Lycopodiopsida; Selaginellales; Selaginellaceae.